This 448-nucleotide ribosomal RNA is filed under the name uncultured bacterium. Its description in RNAcentral is "bacterial SSU rRNA". It matches the Rfam family "Bacterial small subunit ribosomal RNA", at positions 958 to 1386 of the family's 1533-position model. The record is from RNAcentral.
AACGCGAAGAACCUUACCUGGGCUUGACUCGCUCGGAUUAUCUCCAUGAAAGUGGAGUAGGCCCUUCGGGGUACAACGAGUACAGGUGCUGCAUGGCUGUCGUCAGCUCGUGUCGUGAGAUGUCGGGUUAAGUCCCUUAACGAGCGAAACCUUUACCCUUAGUUACCAGCGGGUUAUGCCGGGGACUCUAAGGGGACUGCCGGUGUCAAACCGGAGGAAGGUGGAGAUGACGUCAAGUCCUCAUGGCCUUUAUGCCCAGGGCCACACACGUGCUACAAUGGCGUUCAUAAAGCGACCCUAAACGGCAACGUCAUGGAAAUCGCAAAAAUAACGCCCCAGUUCAGAUCGGAGGCUGCAACUCGCCUCCGUGAAGUUGGAAUCGCUAGUAAUCGCGGAUCAGCUACGCCGCGGUGAAUGUGUUCCCGGGCUUGUACUACACCGGUAUCUC